UACGAAGGGGGCUAGCGUUGUUCGGAAUUACUGGGCGUAAAGCGCACGUAGGCGGAUUUUUAAGUCAGGGGUGAAAUCCCGAGGCUCAACCUCGGAACUGCCUUUGAAACUAGAUUGCUAGAAUCUUGGAGAGGCGAGUGGAAUUCCGAGUGUAGAGGUGAAAUUCGUAGAUAUUCGGAAGAACACCAGUGGCGAAGGCGACUCGCUGGACAAGUAUUGACGCUGAGGUGCGAAAGCGUGGGGAGCAAACAGG
This 253-nucleotide ribosomal RNA is filed under the name uncultured bacterium. RNAcentral describes it as "partial 16S ribosomal RNA". It matches the Rfam family "Bacterial small subunit ribosomal RNA", at positions 524 to 776 of the family's 1533-position model. The record is from RNAcentral.